AAAAAAAGACCUUCUUAAAUUUAUUUAUACUUCCGUUCAUAUAGCAAUUACAAAACUUAAUUACAUUUAUAUUUACCUUAUCAGUUUUUGACAAAACGAUUUUAAAUAAAAAAAAAAAAAAAAAAAAGAAAAAUCAUUUUUAACUUUCAAGAUGAAAUUAUGGCCAUGAUAAUAUUAUAAAAAUAUAUCCAAGAUCGCGACGGCAACCCUCUGAAAUGAACGCUUCAGAAGAAAAUUAGGAUGAAUGCGAGCUAUUAAUCGAAUACGAUCGGUCUCGAAAAGAAAUCUAAAAAAAAGAAAAUAAAAAAAAAAAAAAUAAAAAGCCUGAAGAGUAUUUGUACAACGAAG
This is a long non-coding RNA of Vespa mandarinia (Asian giant hornet), 348 nucleotides long. The record is from RefSeq and is a predicted model, not a curated record. Lineage: Eukaryota; Metazoa; Arthropoda; Insecta; Hymenoptera; Vespidae.